Molecule: ribosomal RNA, 460 nt
Filed under: uncultured bacterium
Lineage: Bacteria
Description: partial 16S ribosomal RNA
Rfam family: Bacterial small subunit ribosomal RNA
Source: RNAcentral
CCUACGGGUGGCAGCAGUGAGGAAUAUUGGUCAAUGGGCGCGAGCCUGAACCAGCCAAGCCGCGUGAAGGAUGACUGCCCUAAGGAUUGUAAACUUCUUUUGUAAGGGAAUAAAGUGAGGCACGUGUGCCUGUUUGUGUGUACCUGAUGAAUAAGGAUCGGCUAACUCCGUGCCAGCAGCCGCGGUAAUACGGAGGAUGCGAGCGUUAUCCGGAUUUAUUGGGUUUAAAGGGAGCGUAGGUGGGUUGUUAAGUCAGUGGUGAAAGCUUGCGGCUCAACCGUGGAAUUGCAGUUGAAACGGGCAGUCUUGAGUACAGUUGAGGUAGGCGGAAUGCGCGGUGUAGCGGUGAAAUGCUUAGAUAUCACGAAGAACUCCGAUUGCGAAGGCAGCUUACUAAACUGCCACUGACAUUGAGGCUCGAAAGCGUGGGUAUCAAACAGGAUUAGAUACCCUUGUAGUC